CACUACAGCCUGGGCGACAAGAGCAAACUCCGUCUCAAAAAAAAAAAAAAAAGAAAAGAAAAAUAAAGGGUUUGGAGAAGGUGAUUUCCUUUUUGGUUUUUUGUUUGUUUGUUUGUUUUUCUGAGACGGAGUCUCACUCUGUCGCCCAGGCAGGAGUACAAUGGCACGAUCUCGGCUCACUGCAACCUCUGCCUUCUGGGUUCAAGCAAGUCUCCUGCCUCAGCCUCCUGAGUAGCUAGGAUUACAGGCACACACCACCACACCUGACUAAUUUUUGUAUUUUUAGCAGAGAUGGGGUUUCACUAUGUUAGCCAGGCUGGUCUGGAACUCCUGACCUCAUGAUCCACCCUCCUUCGGCCUCCCAAAGUGCUGGGAUUACAGGCGUGAGCCACUGCAGCCGGCCUGUUGUUGUUCUUACGUGAACACAUGUGAAAGGUUUUAUUAACUCAUUUUUUAACAGGGGAAACAGCGAUGUUAAAACCAUUCAAAGGAGUCCAAGAACUGUGUGCGCAGGCAACGGGGAAACUGGAAAUGCGUUGACAAACUGACGCAAAACUGGGCCCAACAGCCACAAGGCACUGGUCGUUUUCCACUGGGCAAAGUUCAGUCGCAUUUCUUUCUGUUCUCUUUCUUUCUUU
Molecule: long non-coding RNA, 638 nt
Filed under: Homo sapiens (human)
Lineage: Eukaryota; Metazoa; Chordata; Mammalia; Primates; Hominidae
Description: HSALNT0275091
Source: RNAcentral